GACGAACGCUGGCGGCGUGCUUAACACAUGCAAGUCGAACGGACAGGCCCUGCUUUUGUGGGGUGCUCGUGUGGCGAACGCGUGAGUAACACGUGAGUAACCUGCCCUUGACUUUGGGAUAACUUCAGGAAACUGGGGCUAAUACCGGAUAGGAGCUCCUGCUGCAUGGUGGGGGUUGGAAAGUUUCGGCGGUUGGGGAUGGACUCGCGGCUUAUCAGCUUGUUGGUGGGGUAGUGGCUUACCAAGGCUUUGACGGGUAGCCGGCCUGAGAGGGUGACCGGCCACAUGGGGACUGAGAUACGGAGCAGACUCCUACGGGAGGCAGCAGGGGGGAAUAUGGCGCAAUGGGGGGAAGCCUGAUGCAGAAACGCCGCGUGCGGGAUGACGGCCUUCGGGUUGUAAACCGCUUUCGCCUGUGACGAAGCGUGAGUGACGGUAAUGGGUAAAGAAGCAACGGCUAACUACGUG
RNAcentral lists this ribosomal RNA (468 nucleotides) under uncultured bacterium. RNAcentral describes it as "partial 16S ribosomal RNA". It matches the Rfam family "Bacterial small subunit ribosomal RNA", at positions 28 to 507 of the family's 1533-position model. The record is from RNAcentral.